This 1917-nucleotide long non-coding RNA is filed under the name Homo sapiens (human). RNAcentral's name for it is "HSALNT0364340". The record is from RNAcentral. Lineage: Eukaryota; Metazoa; Chordata; Mammalia; Primates; Hominidae.
AACCAAUCAGAGGCUGAAGUGAAGUUACAAAGUUACACAAGAAGAAUUGGCCCUUGACCAGCCUGAUUGGUUGCAGGAGGGGACCAAUCAGAGGUACCUCCCAUUUUUCAUCUGCAGCCCAAUGCAAAGUAAUGACAUGGAUCUGGAGAGAUUCUCUUAGGAGAGAAUCUGGCUAAGUGUCUAGCAGGAUGAUUGAUUAACAAGAUGUUUUGUUUUCAUCAUCUCAGAGAGCUGUAUUGAGGUAUAAUUGAUAUGCCAAAUAACUGGACACAUUCAACUUGUGCAAUUUGAUGAGUUUGGAGAUACACAUACAUCUGUGAAACCAUCACCAAAAUCAAGAGUACAUGGUUUCCAGGCCAAAUACCACAGUGUUCCAGGCAAGGAUGUGGUCAGUUUCCUUCUCUGCUGGAUCCCAAAGCCCAGGGCAGCUCUUGCACAUACAAACACAUUCAAGCAUCUUCUAUGUGCCAAGAACUUGCUGGAAAACAUCACAAAAGUUAAUAUUUUCUGGAGAUCAAGGAAUGAAACUCAGCCCUCUGCAAAUGGAACACAAACGCCUGGUACAUGGAUGCUACAAUGAAAAGAAUAUGGGUGCUGAAAUCAGAGAGAAUCAUCCAAGAUGAUCCUUAUGCAUGCUGAACUCUGAGAGCCACCAGUGAAGAAGAUAAGUGACCCAUCUACCUGUAGCUGGAAAAUAAAGGCUCUUUGGGAUUCUUUCCCAUGAGUCUUCAUUUCACCAUAUUGGUGAGAGAAGGCAUUCAGGCCCAAUAAUUAACUGAACAUUAGCUGUGUACCAGACACUGUGGUCGACAUUGAGAUAUAACGGAUUUAAGAAAGUCUUUGUGGCUGUGGUGGCUUCAAAUCACUCCCGAGGCUUUAGAAGAAUAUAAUUGCCGUUCUAAGAAGAAUCUGAGGCCUCUAGGAGAUCUGCCAGUAGUGGCCCCAAUGUAUAACAGCACUAGCUCAGUGAAGAGAGAGAGAAAAGAUCUGAAGAGAGUGGUUGCAGUUUGAGCUCUGUCAAUGGGACAGUCCUGGGCAGGAGACUGGGGAGAAGAGGCGGCUUGCUGGUUUUCCUGAACCACUUCCACCCUGAAAGACUCCUUGCAUACAAUCAUCAGAGAAGAACCGUGGGAACCAAGAACCAUGAGCAGGAGAACCAUGAGCACACUGUUCGCAAUGGCCAAGAUUUGGAGGCAACCUAAGUGUCCAUCGACAGACAAAUGGUUAAAGAAAAUGAGGGAGGAGGAAAAAACCAUGGCUGCGGAGGUGAUUUAAUAUCCUGUUGACUCUGAAGAAAAAUACACUUCUUCAUUAUAAGAGUUUUAUUGCCAAUGACUAGAAGGAAAUGUAAAGGGGACAACACAAGAUGACUAACACAGGAAGUUAUAAAACUCACAGCUCUAACUGUCAUGGCCCUGGGCCCAUGGUGCCUGAAUCCCUCUGGGAGUAUUAAAUGGAAGGCCCCCUGGUACCUGAAUUUUGUUUUAGUUUUCUCUCUCCAUCUCUGUGAUUACACAUAAAAUCAGCCAAGCACCUGCUCCCCUCCAGCCUAGAUAACACAUACCUCCAUGCUAUAAAGGGACAAUUUGACCAAGAGACACCCACCUCACCUGACCACAGAGCUGGAAAAUCUACUAUGUCAGACUUCCAUGCAACCGCUGGUGGGAGAAAGUUUUCACGAGUCUCUCUGGGCCCUUAUCCCUCUCCCCUGUAUUCCCAUCCUUAUCCAAAUCCACAUUUCACCAAACUCCCUAACGCUAAGCAGCUGUUGAAGUUCAGAUCACAGUCUCUGAGGAGCUCCUGGUUUCCCAUGGAAUGUGAUUUGCCUCAUCAUCUUACAGCCUGCCUCCACUUUGCUUUCUUAUCAUUUCAGAGGCUUGGGAUGCCUGUGUGCACAAUAAAUCAAUGGCAUUUUAA